GACGAACGCUGGCGGCGUGCCUAAUACAUGCAAGUAGAACGCUGAAGGAGGAGCUUGCUUCUCUGGAUGAGUUGCGAACGGGUGAGUAACGCGUAGGUAACCUGCCUGGUAGCGGGGGAUAACUAUUGGAAACGAUAGCUAAUACCGCAUAAGAGUAGAUGUUGCAUGACAUUUGCUUAAAAGGUGCAAUUGCAUCACUACCAGAUGGACCUGCGCUGUAUUAGCUAGUUGGUGUGGUAACGGCUUACCAAGGCGACGAUACAUAGCCGACCUGAGAGGGUGAUCGGCCACCCUGGGACGGAGACCCGGCCCAGACUCCUACGGGAGGCAGCAGUAGGGAAUCUUCGGCAAUGGACGGAAGUCUGACCGAGCAACGCCGCGUGAGUGAAGAAGGUUUUCGGAUCGUAAAGCUCGGUUGUAAGAGAAGAACGAGUGUGAGAGUGGAAAGUUCACACUGUGACGGUAUCUUAUCAGAAAGGGACGGCUAACUACGUG
This 495-nucleotide ribosomal RNA is filed under the name uncultured bacterium. RNAcentral's name for it is "partial 16S ribosomal RNA". It matches the Rfam family "Bacterial small subunit ribosomal RNA", at positions 28 to 507 of the family's 1533-position model. The record is from RNAcentral.